RNAcentral lists this ribosomal RNA (229 nucleotides) under uncultured bacterium. RNAcentral describes it as "partial 16S ribosomal RNA". It matches the Rfam family "Bacterial small subunit ribosomal RNA", at positions 568 to 796 of the family's 1533-position model. The record is from RNAcentral.
UGCGCAGGCGGGCUUGUAAGUCAGUGGUGAAAUACUGCCGCUUAACGGUAGGACUGCCAUUGAUACUGCAAGUCUUGAAUAUGGUUGAGGUAGGCGGAAUGUGUCGUGUAGCGGUGAAAUGCAUAGAUAUGACACAGAACGCCAAUUGCGAAGGCAGCUUACUAAGCCAUUAUUGACGCUGAGGCACGAAAGCGUGGGGAGCGAACAGGAUUAGAUACCCUGGUAGUCC